Molecule: unclassified non-coding RNA, 744 nt
Filed under: Hevea brasiliensis (rubber tree)
Lineage: Eukaryota; Viridiplantae; Streptophyta; Magnoliopsida; Malpighiales; Euphorbiaceae
Source: RNAcentral
AGUUUCCGCCUCCCCUCUCUCCGAUCCCCAUGGCCUCCGCCGCGCUUCUCUCGCUCUCCGCCGCCCUCCUUCUCCUCUCUCUCCUCUCCGGCGCGGUCGCGAGGCCCGGCCCCUGCAAAACUCUCUUCAUCUCCUACACCAUCACCUCCUCCGACCCCACCCUCGACCUCUCCACCGCCGACCCUAGCCCCUACGCCUCGUUCGCCGUCUUCCGCGUCGUCCGCCCCCUCCGCCCCUACUACUACUCUGCCUCCUCCUUCCACUCCCUCCGCCGCCCAAUCCGCCUCGAUCGCCCCCACAUCGAUUCCGAUCCCGCCGUUGCGGCGAUCAGCUCGCUCCAGGAGCGUGCCAAGGACAUCUUGUUCGUCGUCGUCGGCCUCCUUUUCGGCGUCGGCUGCGGCGCGCUGACCGCCGCCACGAUCUACCUGGCGUGGUCGCUCGUCAUGAAUCGGUAUGAGGUGUGCGGAUCUGAGGGGUUUUCUGAUGGGGAGGACGACGAGAGCCCGAAGAAGAUGGGAUAUGUGAAGAUUGCGGGUCCUGCUCCGGCGGCGGUGAAGGAGGGGUAUGAGGGGAACUAGGGUUAGGGUUUCCGGUUUCAUUGAUCUUACUGAUGGAGAUCUAGUAAGCUGAUACAUACUUAUAUGUGUAUUUAUAUUUUGCUUUGCUUCCGUUGUUUGAUGUUUGACUUGUGUUGCUGCUGCUGCUGCAAAUCUAUAUAUCGAAUCUAUCUUAUGUCGAUGCUGU